AAAUUUUUUUCCCCCGCAUCCCCCCUGCCUUCCCAAUCCCUAAGAAGUUUUGUCCAACCUACGAUCUCUUCACCUACUUUCUGUUUUUCUUUCCUAAUCUCUUCAAACUGGUGAACCCCAUCUAUGCCAGGGAACCCCUCUCUGCCUAAUCCCUCCAUGCUGCCUAAACACCUUUGUGUCCCCCCCCCCCCUUCAUGUUUUCCUUCCUAAACCUAAACGCCUAAACACCUUUCCGAACUCUAAGCGAAAAAACACAUCUCCGUCCAACCUACGAUCUCUUCACUUAUCUCUUUGCAUUUUUCUUACCCUCUCUACCUAUGAUUUAUCUCUCUUUUAUUCGUUAAUAAAUAGAGUCUUUCGUCGUGCAGCGUCGGCGUAGUAGCUCGUUGAUCUCCAAUGCAGUAGCUUUGGAAGAGGAAUAGUAGAGCUAGCGGCAACAAAGAGUCAACCCAGAUAGUGGCACCGCCAGCGCUGAUGGCUAAGCGGGCCAAGAAGAAAGUGAGGGAUAUGGAAGAUACUGAUUUGGGGAAAAAGAAGGUGACCUUGUUCUUUGGCUCGCAAACUGGCACCCCCGAGAGGUUCGCGAAGAUUUCCUCUAAGAAUUGAUUUUUGAGCAAACAUUGACGGACGAGGUCAAUGCGAGGUACAAGAAGGUCAUCUUCAAAGUUGUCUAUUUGGUACUUGGGUCCUGUGAAGUAUUUGAAGAAAGACAAGUUGGAAAUGAACGGUUUAACAUUUUUAAUGGUUGCCCUUUUGGUCAGACUGCAACCAUUAUUCUCAGAGUUCAUUGAAGAUGCAGAAAGGAGCCUUCAUGAUGAUAGUUAGGAGAGCUUUGAAGAACUCUACCAUUGUGCUUGGUGGUGGUGCCAUUAAUAUGGAACUAAGCCGGUAUUUAAGGGUGCAUGCCCGUACAAUAGCUGGGAAGUCAUGGAUGUUUAUCAAUUCCUAUGCCAAAGCUCUUGAGUUUUGAAGAUAAUCUUGGUCUUUGUGGCUAUUGGCUAAGCUCUCCUCACCACUUCCAUCCACCACAGAGAGAAAGAGAGUUGGUUUUAAGAAGACGUCGAUGAUGGUAGAUAAGCCAAAUGUUUUUAAGCAAAAACCUUUGCCACAAAUCAAGCUCCUGCUACCACAAGGGAUUACCUGAAGAUUAUGUUGAGAGGGUGAAAUAAGUUCACAAAGUUGGUGGUUAUGGAUCCAAAGGAUUGUGCCUUGUGCAUUAUUAGCACUUGCAAUUUACUUGGAAGUUGUUUCGGUGUUGCCCUACACAAGGUCAACGACUAAUGCAGAACAUAAAGGUUAUUGAUCUCCUGGUGUCUUAGCAAAGAAGUAGAAAGAUUGGACUUUUUGAUGGAGCUAAUGUGGGGAAGACUGGAUUUAUUAUGAAACUGAUAAUCAACAAUAUUAGAAAAGGUUGACAUGAAAGAAUCAGUAACUGAGAAAGAGGAGUCCAAUGAAAUCCUACAAGUUGAAAAUUGUGAUGGGACUUGGGUUGACAAUAAUUAAGUACAAUCCUACAUGACAUGAACCACCAUCAUAACUUUCUAGUCUUUUGGCUAUUGUUCAUUAGUUACAAAUGGAGUUUAUUUGUUUAUUUAUAUUGGGAUAAAUUUUAUUUGAACAUGAGACAUGUUUCUACUUUUGUGAUUGUAAUUCUUGUAUAAGUAACAUUUUGA
Zingiber officinale is the source of this 1673-nucleotide RNA transcript. RefSeq lists it as uncharacterized. The transcript has 10 exons. The record is from RefSeq and is a predicted model, not a curated record. NCBI's taxonomy places the organism in Eukaryota, Viridiplantae, Streptophyta, Magnoliopsida, Zingiberales, Zingiberaceae.